UUUUUUUUUUUUUCCUUUUGAGACAGAGUCUCGCCGUGUCACCCAGGCUGGAGUGCAAUGGCGCUAUCUCGGCUCACUGCAGCCUCUAUCUCCCAGGCUCGAGCAAGCAAUUCUCAUGCCUCAGCCUCCCGAGUAGCUGGGACUACAGGUGCAUGCCACCACGCCUGGCUAAUUUUUGUAUUUUUAGUAGAGACGGGGGUUUCACCAUGUUGGCCAGGCUGGCCUCAAACUCCUGACCUCAGGUAACCUUCCCGCCUCGGCCUCCCAAAGUGCUGGGAUUAUAGGGGUGAGCCACCGCGCCCAGCCUGUGCUGUUAUUUUCACCACUUUACAGAUGAGGAAAAUAAGUCACUGAGAAAUUAAUUGGCUUGCAAAAAGUCGCACUUACUAUGUGCUCAGUACUGCUUGUGACAGGACACAGUGGGAGUUAAGAACACAGAUGACUCCAUCAGAGAGCCCAAGUUCAAACCCCAGUGCUGCCUCUUCAGCUGUUAUGACCUCGGACAAGUCAUCUAACCACUCUGAGCCUCAGUUUCUUUAUCUGUAAAAAGAAUAGCGACUGGGAUUCCUGUAGAGUGUAAAAAAAGUCAAUACAGGAGUCCAUGUGGAGAAAGAGUCCAGUUGUUCCUGUACUAGGUCAGGGCAGGGGCUUUUGUAUGGGUUCACAGCAGUCGUCUUGUGCAGGUCAGGUCAGUGGUUACUGUAUGAUGUGAGGCCAGGGGUUCCUGGACAGUGUGAAGACGGAUUUCUGUAUGGCAUGAAGGGUGGCUAUAACCUGACAUCCAUCUCAGAGUCCAUGGCUGCCUGCACUCGCUCCCUCCUUGGAGACCCACCACCCCUGCUGACCCUGCCACGGCCCCCACUAUCAGGGGCCCUGGCCUCAAUCACUGAGACCAUCCAAGUCCAUCGCAGAUACUGGCGCAGCUUACGGGUCAUGAAGGUAGAAGACAGAGAAGGACCCUCCAGUUCUAAGUUGGUCACCAAGAAGGCACCCCAACCAGCCAAACCUAGGUUAGCUGAGCGGAUGACCACACGAGAAAAGAAGGUUCUGGAAGCAGGCAUGGGGAAAGUCACCUCGGCAUCAUUUGGGGAAGAGUCCACUCCAGGCCAGACUAAGUCAGAGACAGCUGAAGAAAGAAAAGAUCUGAAGAAAGCUGACUCUAAAAGAGAGCCAUCAAAGUCAACAAACAGCAGAACUAGCACUCAAGCUAAGUUUAAAAAGAAAACAGAAGGGAAAUUCAAAAUAAGUUCAACCACCUUCAAGUUAAAUGGUGGAUUGAUAGCACAGGUUUACUUCCUCACCCUCCUACUACCCCAUUCAAAAUACAGUAAAGAAAUUGUAAACAAACAGCAACCCAGAAAGAGAGAGUGGAAGGAUGUCAGAGAAUAA
Molecule: long non-coding RNA, 1389 nt
Filed under: Pan troglodytes (chimpanzee)
Lineage: Eukaryota; Metazoa; Chordata; Mammalia; Primates; Hominidae
Description: lncRNA (ENSPTRG00000053514.1)
Source: RNAcentral